RNAcentral lists this ribosomal RNA (273 nucleotides) under uncultured bacterium. Its description in RNAcentral is "partial 16S ribosomal RNA". It matches the Rfam family "Bacterial small subunit ribosomal RNA", at positions 524 to 795 of the family's 1533-position model. The record is from RNAcentral.
UACGUAGGGCGCAAGCGUUGUCCGGAAUUAUUGGGCGUAAAGAGCUCGUAGGCGGUUUGUCGCGUCUGCUGUGAAAAGCCCGGGGCUCAACCCCGGGUCUGCAGUGGGUACGGGCAGACUAGAGUGCAGUAGGGGAGACUGGAAUUCCUGGUGUAGCGGUGAAAAUGCGCAGAUAUCAGGAGGAACACCGAUGGCGAAAGGGCAGGGUCUCUGGGCUGUUACUGACGCUGAGGAGCGAAAGCAUGGGGAGCGAACAGGAUAGAUACCGUAGUC